Hyla sarda is the source of this 1044-nucleotide long non-coding RNA. RefSeq lists it as uncharacterized. Lineage: Eukaryota; Metazoa; Chordata; Amphibia; Anura; Hylidae. The transcript is spliced from 6 exons. The record is from RefSeq and is a predicted model, not a curated record.
GACCAAUCCGGGUGUUGGCGGAUGCAGUCACCUGACCGGGAUGCCGCUGCUUGUUCCGGCAGUCGCAUGAUACUGACCCACAUUCAUGUCAUCAAGGUGAGACCAUACACCGGAUACACAGGUGAUUUACAGCAUUACAGGUAUACCCUGAAGUAACAGCAUUAAAUACUUCAAUAAAGCAGAAAAAAUCCUUACAAGUUCAGGAAUACCAGCAAAGAAAAGGGGGAAAUUCUAUAAAGCAAACAAUAUAAAGGAGAAUAAUACCCUAUCAAUGAAAAGAAGUGACAGCUGACAAAGGUCUUCAAUCAUUUUGUCCAUUUUCUGCAAAUAGCUUGGACGAGAUUCUGCUAGAUGUUUAUGGGAAAGGAGAUUCAUAGAGCUCAUUGUUCAAAGCAUUAAAUGACUUAUAUGUAAUAACUCCUUCAUCUGAGAAGCUCUGCACAGCCACUUCACAAGUCUGUCAGAACUAAGCUGAGCUGUGAAGUAAAAAGCUGGUGAUACUAAGCUCUGUAAGGUGACCACCAGAGAGGAAGAAAAUAUCACAUUAUAGAGGGAUCUGGAGAAACUGGUUGUUUGGACAGAGAAGUAGCAAAUGAAGUUUAAUGUGGAUAAAUGAACAUGUUUUAUACCAUAUUACAGGCUGUCUCAGAGUAUAAUGAAGAAUAUGGCAACAUAUAUAAAUGAGCUGGAUGUCUGGAUAGCAUAUUUAGGCAUAAAAAAAGAACAUUUACUGUCAGAUAUACUAAUUGUACACUGAAAACACAUUUCUAUUUAGCAAAAAAAUGUUUCCCAACUUUUUGUAAAAGUUUACACUGCAGCACUGUAAAUAAUCAUGAUAAAACAUCAAUACUUUUUUUUAUUUAAUCUUGCACUUCGUCUUUAACAUGCUGCAAUGAGGAAAAUGAAUGUGUAUUUAUUUGUGUACUGCACUGUGAUAAAAUAUGCAUCAUUUUCAUCAAACUACAAAUCAAAAGAUGUCUACACUUGUUAUAAGGAAUAUGUUACUGCGAUGGUACAAUGCAAGCAAUAAACUGUUACCUUUCC